UGCAAUAAUUGUUGUAAGUCACUUUGGAUAAAAGCGUCUGCUAAAUGGCAUAUA
Salmo salar (Atlantic salmon) is the source of this 54-nucleotide non-coding RNA. Lineage: Eukaryota; Metazoa; Chordata; Actinopteri; Salmoniformes; Salmonidae. The record is from Rfam.